This 253-nucleotide ribosomal RNA is filed under the name uncultured bacterium. RNAcentral describes it as "partial 16S ribosomal RNA". It matches the Rfam family "Bacterial small subunit ribosomal RNA", at positions 524 to 776 of the family's 1533-position model. The record is from RNAcentral.
UACAGAGGGUGCAAGCGUUAAUCGGAUUUACUGGGCGUAAAGGGCGCGUAGGUGGUUAUCUAAGUUUGAUGUGAAAUCCCUGGGCUUAACCUAGGAACUGCAUUAGAUACUGGGUAACUAGAGUACUGUAGAGGGUAGUAGAAUUUCCGGUGUAGCGGUGAAAUGCGUAGAGAUCGGAAGGAAUACCAGUGGCGAAGGCGGCUACCUGGGCAGAUACUGACGCUGAGGAGCGAAAGCGUGGGGAGCAAACAGG